This is an RNA transcript of Myzus persicae (green peach aphid), 2471 nucleotides long. It is a transcript of the gene named dopamine receptor 2, with no coding region annotated. The transcript has 5 exons. The record is from RefSeq and is a predicted model, not a curated record. NCBI's taxonomy places the organism in Eukaryota, Metazoa, Arthropoda, Insecta, Hemiptera, Aphididae.
CGGUCUCGGCGCAGUGCGCUCUCGGGCCGCGCGAGUCACGCUCGUUUUUAUACUCGUCCCGGUGCGAACGGAGGACAUCGCGCGGUGGUGACGUUUUCGCGCCUAACUCACACGCGGCGGCCACAUCGCGGUCUCACUGGUCUCCGUGACGCGUGCCGGCGAAGGCGAUGACGGUGGUUUGGGGGCCCUAGACGCGUAUUCGCCCGUCGUAUCGUACGGAUAUAAUAAUACAAUCUAUAUUAACGCGCGACGGUGUGUUGCGGUGCCCACUCGUGUGUGUGUGUGUGUGUGUGUGUGUGUGUGUGUGUGUGUGUGUGUGUGUGUGUGGGUUUGAGUGUGUGUGUGCGUGCGUAAAACAGUGUACGUGCGACGAUUUCGUUUUCGACAUGGCGGCAACGGUGACGGUGACGGAGGCGGCGGCCGAAACGACCAACAAUAUUAUUGUAUAAUAUAGGCCCUCGUGUGUUGACGAUUUUCUGAAAUUCAACGAGUAAUAUAUUUUUACGGAGACAAAAGAGAUGGAUAGAGAGAGAACGAUGAACUGGACGACAAUGGUCGCGUUGGUAAACGGCACAGCCGAAUACGAGGACCCGUCGGGCACGGAGGAGGCUGUCCCCUGCCCGUCAACUUUCGGCGAACGGUUUCCGCUGUCGGCGGUGUUGAUGGUGUUCUGCAUGGUGACCGUGUUCGGCAACUGUCUGGUUAUCAUCGCUGUGGUCCGGGAGAGGUAUCUGCACACGGCUACCAACUACUUCAUCACGUCGCUGGCUUUCGCUGACUUCCUGGUCGGACUGGUGGUGAUGCCGGUGAGCGCCGUGCAGGAAGUGCUCGAUCAUUACUGGACGUUCGGCAUAAACGCGUGCGACGUUUGGCGGUCGCUGGACGUGUUGUUCAGCACAGCGUCCAUACUGAACCUGUGCGUGAUAUCGCUGGAUCGGUACUGGGCCAUCACCGAUCCGUUCACGUACCCCACGAAAAUGAGCCGGAAGCGGGCGUACCGGCUGAUCGCUGCGGUAUGGGUGUGUAGUGGCGUUAUCAGCUUCCCGGCCAUCAUAUGGUGGCGGCUGGUCCGCACCGAACCCGUUCCCAGCAACACGUGCCCGUUCACCAACAGCACCGGUUACCUGAUAUUCUCGUCUACCAUAUCGUUUUACGUGCCGCUGCUGGUCAUGGUGUUCACUUACUACAAGAUCUACACGGCGGCCGUAACGCAGACCCGGUGCCAGCGGCUGGGCACCAAGGUGCUGUCAUCCACCCCGUCGUCCGGUGGCGGUUCCGGAGGCUGUGGCGGUGCUGGUGGUGGUGGCAGUGGAGGUGGUGCCGGCGGUGGUGCCGGCGGCGGUCGGAUGGAACUCACGCUCCGAAUACACCGGGGCGGCGGGACAACCACGUCCGCGUCGGCUGCCCACGGCGGUAGUGGAGGCUACACGCGAGCUCACCAGCUGCAGAAAAACUUUUCCCUAAGUCGGAAGCUGAGCAAGCUUUCGCGCGAGAAGAAGGCGGCCAAAACGCUGGGCAUCGUCAUGGGCGUGUUCAUCGUCUGCUGGCUACCGUUCUUCGUCGUCAACCUGCUGUCCGGGUUCUGCGACGAGAGCUGCGUGUUCAAGGACCAACUGCUGUCGUCCGUGGUCGCCUGGCUCGGGUGGAUCAACAGCGGCAUGAACCCGGUGAUUUACGCCUGUUGGAGAAGAGAUUUCCGCAGGGCAUAUGGUCGGAUACUGUGUGUAUGUUGUCCUAGAAAGGUACGAAGAAAAUAUCGAAGACCGCUACGGUACAGGUCAAGUCAAUACAUGGGAGCGUCUAUGGUAUUAGCUCCUGCCACGGUCACAUACGCCACUGUCAACCAACAAGACAUGUUCAACAUCUGAGAUGACCUUGAAAAAUACAUUAAUUCAUUGGGUGGGCGAAAAAACGCUCAAAGAAGAUUCACAUCGAUAUAUCAAUCAUAUAAGUAUAAAUGGAUUUAUCCAAGUUUCAAUGCUGUUCAAUUUUUGAUAUCUAUAAAAAAACAAAGAAGCUUAUAUUUAUAAAAACUAACUUCAUAAGAUCUCAUCCGUCUCCAAUAAAAAUUUAGUAAGUUAAAAUAUAAAUAAAUGACUCGAAAAUAUUUUAAUAGAAAAAUCUUCUCAUUAGAAUUAAGAACUCAUCGUCGUUUAUCGCCUUCAUAAAAAUGUAUGAAUAUUGUCUAUUUAAGUGCCUAAUACGGUAUAUUGCUAUUAGAUAAUUACUAAAACAGCCUAUUUUUCAGAUAGGCUUUUAAAAUGUCAUAUGAUAAUUUUUUAAUGUUCAAUCUUCUAUAAAAAAUAAAUGUAACACAAUUUUAUAACCUAUCUUUGUAGCUAACCUCCACUAUUUAUAACUUGUGUGUAACACUGUAAUUAAUGGCCUUUGGUGUCAAUGUUAUUUUUUUAAGAUCAAUAUUAAAAAAAUAGUUUUUAAUCAUUUGUAUAAUGUAUACACAAAAUACAAAA